RNAcentral lists this ribosomal RNA (803 nucleotides) under uncultured bacterium. RNAcentral describes it as "bacterial SSU rRNA". It matches the Rfam family "Bacterial small subunit ribosomal RNA", at positions 69 to 868 of the family's 1533-position model. The record is from RNAcentral.
GCAGCACGGGAGCAAUCCUGGUGGCGAGUGGCGAACGGGUGAGUAAUGUAUCGGAACGUGCCCAGUCGUGGGGGAUAACGUAGCGAAAGCUACGCUAAUACCGCAUACGAUCUGUGGAUGAAAGCGGGGGACCGCAAGGCCUCGCGCGAUUGGAGCGGCCGAUAUCAGAUUAGGUAGUUGGUGGGGUAAAGGCCUACCAAGCCGACGAUCUGUAGCUGGUCUGAGAGGACGACCAGCCACACUGGGACUGAGACACGGCCCAGACUCCUACGGGAGGCAGCAGUGGGGAAUUUUGGACAAUGGGCGCAAGCCUGAUCCAGCAAUGCCGCGUGCAGGAUGAAGGCCUUCGGGUUGUAAACUGCUUUUGUACGGAGCGAAAAGGCUUCCACUAAUACUGGAGGCUCAUGACGGUACCGUAAGAAUAAGCACCGGCUAACUACGUGCCAGCAGCCGCGGUAAUACGUAGGGUGCAAGCGUUAAUCGGAAUUACUGGGCGUAAAGCGUGCGCAGGCGGUCUUGUAAGACAGGUGUGAAAUCCCCGGGCUUAACCUGGGAACUGCACUUGUGACUGCAAGGCUGGAGUACGGCAGAGGGGGAUGGAAUUCCGCGUGUAGCAGUGAAAUGCGUAGAUAUGCGGAGGAACACCGAUGGCGAAGGCAAUCCCCUGGGCCUGUACUGACGCUCAUGCACGAAAGCGUGGGGAGCAAACAGGAUUAGAUAUCCUGGUAGUCCACGUCCUAAACGAUGUCAACUGGUUGUUGGGUCUUCACUGACUCAGUAACGAAGCUAACGCGUGAAGUUGA